AGCGAACGCUGGCGGCGUGCUUAACACAUGCAAGUCGAGGGAGAACGGGAGGCUUCGGCCUUUCUAGUAAACCGGCGCACGGGUGAGUAACACGUAGGUAACCUACCUUCGAGACCGGGAUAACCUAUCGAAAGAUGGGCUAAUACCGGAUAUGACCACGGGGGCCUCGGCUCCUGGGGUGAAAGAUGGCCUCUGCUUGCAAGCUAUCACUCGGGGAUGGGCCUGCGCACCAUAGCUAGUUGGUGAGGUAACGGCUCACCAAGGCUACGAUGGUUAGUUGGUCUGAGAGGAUGACCAGCCACACUGGGACUGAGACACGGCCCAGACUCCUACGGGAGGCAGCAGUGGGGAAUAUUGCGCAA
RNAcentral lists this ribosomal RNA (362 nucleotides) under uncultured bacterium. RNAcentral's name for it is "bacterial SSU rRNA". It matches the Rfam family "Bacterial small subunit ribosomal RNA", at positions 29 to 371 of the family's 1533-position model. The record is from RNAcentral.